Molecule: long non-coding RNA, 928 nt
Filed under: Mus musculus (house mouse)
Lineage: Eukaryota; Metazoa; Chordata; Mammalia; Rodentia; Muridae
Description: long non-coding RNA chr9:27991146-27992074
Source: RNAcentral
UGCUGUAGAGGAUGCAGUGAUGCUGCUGGUUUCCAUCCGCCACAUUGAGAAUGAGGGCCUUCCUCUUUCUUAUGUCAUCAUAGAGCCUUUCAGAAUGUGGCAAAUGUGGUCCUGAGACCCCUUUCCUAGGAAGUCCUGCUGAGAACAGCUUUGCAGCGUGCUGCUUGCUUAGAAGGGUCAUCCGUGAGAGGCUUUUCGGUCCAGGGUUUUGUGCAGAUGCUCUAGGAAAAUUCAAGAGCUAGGAAGUCAGAGAUUCAGCAUUGGCCCCCAUAGUUGCACAGCGCCGGCUUCCUCUCAGUGCUGUUUACUAUGUCAAGUUGUAGUGGUCCAUGCCCUGCCCAGGAAACAUGGGAUUCCCCCAUCCAGGUUGGUCCUAAGGAUCCAAGGGCUCCUUUAGAAAGAGAACUGGUAUCAGGUGAGAGCCCAUCAACGUGCUAUUUGCUAGAUCACUGAGUCUGAGUUCUGAGAGAUUGCAGUGCUCGCAGGCUGUCAUUGAAACAAUUGUGUCUGAGGGAAGCAAACAGACUCGACUGACAUCCAUUUUCUGAUUCUCAAGAAACAAACCAUAAACUGACGGAAAGGGAAGGGAAAAAUAAAACAUACUUCCUUUACAGAGGUGUGUCAGAAGACUGAUAACACUGCAUGGUGGUAUGGUGGUUCCUGCCCCUGCUGCCUGCCAAGGUUGGGAGGUGGAGCUUCAGCCAGGGUCCAGCAAGUCAGAGAAAAGCACCCACAUACUUGGGAGCAUCUGGAGAGAACAAUUCUGGGGUUUCAAAUCCCAGCUUUGGCCUGUCCUCUUUAAGAUCGCUGCUUUCUCAUUACUAAAGUGGCUUCUGGGUUUCUGUGUAGCAGCUUUUACCCUGGGUGGACAUCUUCCCAGGCAGCCUUCUUCUGAGUUCUAUUUGGAGACCACUUUUACACACACACC